UUGAAACACCGGUUUCCGUACGAUCAUCGAAGUUAAGCAACGUCGAGCUUGGUCAGUACCUAGAUGGUAAGACGCUUGGGAAUACCGAGUGCUGUAAU
This is a non-coding RNA of Acanthosepion pharaonis, 98 nucleotides long. NCBI's taxonomy places the organism in Eukaryota, Metazoa, Mollusca, Cephalopoda, Sepiida, Sepiidae. The record is from the annotation of a GenBank genome assembly.